RNAcentral lists this ribosomal RNA (796 nucleotides) under uncultured bacterium. RNAcentral's name for it is "bacterial SSU rRNA". It matches the Rfam family "Bacterial small subunit ribosomal RNA", at positions 8 to 796 of the family's 1533-position model. The record is from RNAcentral.
AGAGUUUGAUCMUGGCUCAGAACGAACGCUGGCGGCGUGUCUUAAGCAUGCAAGUCGAGCGGCAAGSGUAGCAAUACSCCUAGAGCGGCGGACUGGUGAGUAACGCGUGGGUGAUCUGCCUUUGGGAUGGGGAUAGCCAUUAGAAAUAGUGGGUAAUACCGAAUACGCUUGCAAGACUGCGGUCUUGUAAGGAAAGGCGCUACGGCGCCACCCGAAGAUGAGCCUGCGUCAGAUUAGCUAGUUGGUGAGGUAACGGCCCACCAAGGCGAUGAUCUGUAGGCGGCCUGAGAGGGUGUACGCCCACAUUGGGACUGAGAUACGGCCCAAACUCCUACGGGAGGCAGCAGCUAAGAAUAUUCCGCAAUGGACGAAAGUCUGACGGAGCGACGCCGCGUGGAUGWGGAAGGCCGAAAGGUUGUAAAAUCCUUUUGUCGGUGAAGAAUAAGCCUGGGAGGGAAUGCCCGGGUGAUGACGUUAACCGGCGAAUAAGYCCCGGCUAACUACGUGCCAGCAGCCGCGGUAACACGUAGGGGGCGAGCGUUGUUCGGAUUUACUGGGCGUAAAGGGCACGUAGGCGGUUCUGUAAGCCUGACGUGAAAGGCUAUGGCUCAACCAUGGCACUGCGUUGGGAACUGCGGGACUUGAAUCAUGGAGAGGGAGCUGGAAUUCCAGGUGUAGGGGUGAAAUCUGUAGAUAUCUGGRAGAACACCAAUGGCGAAGGCAAGCUCCUGGCCACUGAUUGACGCUGAGGUGCGAAAGYGUGGGKAKCAAACAGGAUUAGAUACCCUGGUAGUCC